Molecule: unclassified non-coding RNA, 483 nt
Filed under: uncultured Alphaproteobacteria bacterium
Lineage: Bacteria; Pseudomonadati; Pseudomonadota; Alphaproteobacteria
Description: partial 16S-23S ribosomal RNA intergenic spacer
Rfam family: tRNA (bases 162-236)
Source: RNAcentral
CCUCCUUUCUAAGGAAAUUUCUUAAUGAAAUUAAAUCUUUAUGAUUUAAAUUCUUUUGAAAUUCUUGGAACAUAAUGUCAGAUUUAUCUGACAAACAUUGCUGGAUUGUCGCCAUCUUCGUUUCUCUUUCUCAGGAUUAAGUUAUACCUAAUCGGAAUAGCGGGCCUGUAGCUCAGCUUGGUUAGAGCGCACGCCUGAUAAGCGUGAGGUCGGUAGUUCAAGUCUACCCAGGCCCACCAUAUCUUAAUCUUUUGAAUCAUAGAUUCUGAAAGAGUCUGUUCAUUAACAUUGUAAAGAGAAAUAUUUUGAUCAUAUCGUAUACAUGCUUAUUAUUUGUAUUAUGAGUGGUGCCUGCACGGGCACAGUUAGUUCUUUAACUUUCAAAAUAUAAGUAGAAUAGAUUAUAAAUUUUAUAAUCAAAAUGGUCUUUUUGUGAUGUUUAUUAAAUCCCUUACAACCGAUUUAGUAGAUAUCAAAAAAGUG